RNAcentral lists this long non-coding RNA (11255 nucleotides) under Xyrichtys novacula (pearly razorfish). The record is from RNAcentral. Lineage: Eukaryota; Metazoa; Chordata; Actinopteri; Labriformes; Labridae.
ACGAAAGAAGGAAGUUGGUUACGAAAACGUGACCGAACCUCAAAUCUGUGAUAAAAUUUACCGGUUUAAAGUAACGAAGACUUUAAUAACUUUUAAUAAGACCACGAGGAAACUGAUGCCGAUAUUUUAAAGGUCUAAAUUUGGUCAAAACUUGAUUAAAGAGUAUUUUACUGUUUUGUUUACACUCUGUGGAAUCAGUAAUGCCAAAGGAAACAAAGUUGAUCAUAUAUUGACUCUUGAUCCACUUCUUUAAACCCGAAUCGGAACAAUAACAGCGGACUGCAGAUAUUAACUGAUCCAGUGGAACAUUAGCGUUCAGGUUCCGUCAGGUUCGGGACCAGGUUUCAGGAAGAGGGUCUGUCUUCACGUGUCUUAGUGGAUAUAAAUGGACCUCCUGUGGGCACAUCGGAAGCAGAACCAUCUGUGUGAUCCAGGAUUAAAACGGGACAUGGACCCUUGGAUACCAGGACUGAGGUCAGUAAAAAUGUUCGGAUUUAACCUCCAUGUUUGACUCACCUGUGAUACACCUACUGUGAUCAUGUUGGGCUCGUGCUCGGAGGUGUGUACAGGUGUGAGUGACAUGACCCAAUCGGCUGAGAUGAGAGUUGAAACUUUCACUGUUGUAUCGUUUUUUAUUCUCCGUGUUUGUAAGAAGUCGUGACUCAAAGGUGAGAGUAAAAAUCACCUUCAACAGGUCGUUGUUGUUUCUUUAAAGUCUCACCUGAUUCCUGACAGGAAAACAUGAAAAUAUUUAGACUUUACUGUGAAUACAUAUAAUGAGUUUAAUGUUUAUUUAACUUCUAAGUUUACACGAGGACCGUUGCUAUGGAAACGCCACUUUCAUAAACUCUGAGGGACUGUUGCUUCUUUCUGACUGAGUUUCAGUUCAUUUUUAAUACAACACUGCCACCUGCUGGUCACUGAUGGAGGUUUGGAAACCCACAGACUAGUCUGAAAUCCUGUGAAACACAUUAUUAAAUCACCAGAGACAGUUUUUAUUCUGAUAGAUGAUUUCUGUGUAUGAACAUAUAUUUUUAGUUUUAUAUUGUCUCAUUCAUAAAUAUCUUUACAGAUUAUUCGUAAUUGUUUUUUGCUGCAGUUUUCUCCUCAGUCUUUAGAAAUAUUCUCAAUGACAAGUUUUUAAUCACACCUCAUCUUUCCCAGAACUUUAAUUUUAUAUGUUUUAUUUUAAAUCUGAUUUUUAAUCCACAAAGUUUCUUCUUGUGUCACUUUAUAAAUGAAAUACUGAAUCUGUUGGACUCUGAUGAGACAGGCACCAAUAUCCAUACUUCAGUAAGUAAGUAAACUUGAUUUUUAUAGCACUUUUCACAGACAAAGUGCUUCACAUAGACAAGAAUAAAAAUGUACAUACAAAUUAAAAGGCAGAGACAACAACAUUAAACAGUCAUAGCAGCUCCAAAAACAAUUAAACAAAGGCCUGAGCAAAUAAAUCAGUUUUGAGUUGGCUUUUAAAGGAGUCAACUUCAUUCAUUAUAUUGUAGGGACAUCAAUAAUUAUAAUAUUACUAAAAAUAAAAAAAAUAUGUGUAAUAAUAAUGAUAAAAAUAAUAAAGAGUGUAAGUGUCUUAAAAAUUAAAAGUAAAUCACUGCAAAUUAAAAAUAUAGAUGCAGAAAUAUACAACAAUGAAACCUGCUUAUUUAUUUUCAGUUAUUUGAUAUUUUUUUUCCUCUUCAUAAAUGUAUUUAUUGACUCUUCAAUAAAUACUCAGUAAUAAAUUAACUGUAUUAGAAAUGUUCUCAUAACAUCUUUUUUCUUUACAAUAUUUUUUGCGUACUUUAAUCUUUUUUUUUCCUUUUUCAGACAAAUUAUGUGAGACAACAGACAAUUAAAUUUCCCUUUGGGGAUUAAUAAAGUUAUUCUUAUUCUUAUUCUUAUUUAGUAAAAUAUUUAAUAUGCAACAAAAAACAAAUGCUCUUUAAAAUUAAAAAUAAACGCAAGAAAUAAGAAAAUGAGCACGCACUAAAUUAUAAAUGAUAGAUUAUUAUUACAGCUGAGACAUUUUAAUGUUAGCUCUGUGGCUGCAGUUCGUCUUUCAGCCACCAGGUGUCGUCUGUGAGUCAGUUCCUCUUCCACUCUCCUGCGAAAAACUUCUCGACAUAUAAAAAUGUUCACAGUCGGACUUUCAGCUGCUACAGUUCUCUAAACUAAGACCAGAACUUCUCAGUGAAGUCUCUGUGUUUUAUUUAUUUGAGUUUUCUGUCUGAAUGUUGAACUCUGAUGUAGUUUUAAGAGUUUCAGAGGAUCACUGAUAUUCAGGAGUGUGUGAGGCGUUCACCCCUCAGGGUGGAUCAGCAGCACAUUUCAGACUAACAGAACAGGCUUUGAAUUACAUAUUGAUUAAUUUAUUAUUAUUAAUAAUUAUUGAUAAUUGAAACAUUGAAUUUAUUGAAUAACCGUGAAAAAUAUCUGUUAUUCUGUUAUCUUUAAAGUGAGUGAAGCAGUUACAUGAGUAAAAGUAUGAUUCAAAUGUAUAACUGUAUUUUUCUUCAGUCACAUUAUUUAACAUUUAUGUCACAUUUAAAACCCACUAUAUUAAAGUCCAUGUAACCUAAAUUUAUAUUAUUAUUAAACAGUCACGUCUCAGACUCAUUAGAAUUUAUUUUGGACUUACUUUUGUUAGACUUUUUAAAAGUCACCCUGUAGAAAUUUUCUGAUUUAUUAUUUUUUUUCUGCUUUCUUCAUUAGUACACGUCCAAUUUUCAUUUUUUUAUUUUGGCUAAUCAGUGCGACAAACUCAGCUGCAUAUGUGUGAUAUUUGAGUUUUGUUAUUACACUUGAACUUUGACAGUUUUUAAUCAACAAAAAUGUGCAUUAAAUGUCAUUUAUUUUCCAGAAACAGAGGUGGAACCACAAAAUCUAAUACAAGUUUGCAGCGUGCUCACAAGAAUUAAAGUAGGAAUCUGAAGAGUAGGAAAAUAAAACAACUCAUGAAUCCAAAACAAUUUGAUUUUUUGAAUUUAAGAAAAUUAAAAAUUAAUUCACAAAAUUUCUAGAGACAGAAAAUCAGGCUCUGAGUGAAAAUAUGAGCUUAUUGUUGUUUUUUUUUUCAAAGAUAAAAUAUGUUUUUCAAGGAUUAACUGAAGAUCAUUGUAGUUGUAUUUUUCACCAGCAGAGGGCGCAGCGGUGCAGAGUCCAUCUGAAGUUAAAGAACAUGGGGUAGAGUACAGUAAACUGAUUUAUAACUCAUGUUUUACGUUUUUUCAGAUCUAUUAUUCAUUAUUUUAUAAAGGCAUAAUUAUUUUAAUAUUUAAUCUGAGUGUUUAAAAAUGAACUUUGUUUAACUCUGUCGUAAAUUUCUUCAUGUCUUUUUCUAUUUCUUCAGUGUUUAAAAUACAGGUUAACUUUUGGCAGUUCACUUCAAUUGAUGAACAUAAAGGGGGCUAAAAUUGGGUCUUAUAAUCUGUAUAAUAAUAUUUUGAUAUGCUAUAAACUAGACUCCUUACUUUUCUGUAGUUAUUAAGAUAAUUUUCCUGUCUUUUCUUUGCUUUUGUUCUCUUUUAUUUCUUUGCUUCUGUUUUUUUAUUUCUGAAAAUUUGACAGUUUUAAGAUUUAUUUUUUUAUUUUGUUUUAUGCUUAAAAACAAAAUUUAAAAUAACGUCAAAAAAACAAACAAAUAACAAAAAAUAACUUUGAGUGAGUUUUUAACAAUCCAACUCAAAUAAAUAGAUAAAGUUAAAGUCUGACAAACCAUGAAACACACACUAGCGCGCACACACACACACACACACACACACACACACACACACACACACACACACACACACACACACAGAGUAAGCUGUAAUCCGUCUCACAGAGGUGAACAUUUAGGAUCUGUGACGGUGUGAUCAAUAAUUAUGAUCAGUCUGAGUGACACGACCUUGCAUGUGCAUCAUUACACACACCUCUUAAUGUGUGUGUGUAACAGAGGUGCUGUUAAUAUUGACUUGUGUAAUUGUGUGUAUUAUUCUCAGUGAGUCUCUAUAAUCACCUAAACUGAGGAAUUAUGGGACUUUUGACUUAAACCCUCAUUCCUGGGAGAUUUUCUCUGGUUAUAUAAACGAGUUCGGUCACUUAGACUUUACUUUAUCUCCACCGAUGAGAUUUAAACAAUAAUUAGUUUCAGAUGGAAUUAAAAAUGAGUCAGUUAUCUUUGAGGCGUCACAGACUUUCCUUUUUUAAGGAUCUGUAAUAAAAACUCAACAUUUUAAAACUUAAAGCCAGCGCAGCAGAGGCGAAUCCAAGAGGUGGUCAUGGCCCUUAAAGUCUAAUCGGCCCCCCUGAUGGAAACUCCAAAACCCUAAACUACAGUAUCUGUCUGGCCAUGUCAGAGGUCAGACUCAUGUUUAAGGGAUAGCAGCCGCUUGUUUGUAGCAAGACCUCAGGCCAGUCCGUUACAGACUACAGUGGGGUGACACAGCUCAAGGAAGAACAUUUAUGAUCAUUUCCUGGAAGUAAUAAUCAACAUAUCAAUCAAUUUUCACUGCAGACGCGGUAGUUCUUCUGCCUUAGCGUCUCGGUCUGAUUGUAUUUCCAUGAAGAAAUUAUCAGAAAUGUUCCUCCUUGAGCUGCAGCACCCCGCUGUAGUCCGUAAAGGACUGGCCUGAAGUCUCGCUACAAACAUCGGCUGCUGGAAGAGAGUAGGUGAGUUGUGUUUAGUCUCUUUGCUAAAGAAAUGAGUCAAAGUUAAAAAUUUGUUUGGUGUCUAGUACUAUGGCUGUGACCCUAUAUGUACUAACCUCAGUAGAUCAUGGUGUAGUUCCGUUCAGUAAGAGAACCUCAUUGGAAAAUUAGCUGAUUUAACUUUACUGUGCUCUUGUUCAAAUAUACUAACUGGACAGCACAUAUAUCUAUACCUGUUAACAAAAUCCAGAUUUUAUUGAUAAAUCGGCUCAAUAAAAACACCUUUACCUUUUCAUUUUACUACAGCAACAUUCAUCUCUGGAGUGGGUGUCUAACUCAGGUGUGUUUGACCCUAACUUAAUUUUACGCCGGAAUAUCCCUUUAACAGCACUGAUGGCCUUAGUCUCUCUGUCCGACGACCUUGGUUGAAAAUUAAAGACAAAACAAAGAUCCAAUAACUGCAGUUCCUUGAGUGUCCACUAGAGGCUGACUCCUAAAAUGAGUGACCUCCCAUAGAGCUCCAUGUUAAAAUGUUUACAGCCUGGUAUAAAAGUUAUUCUGGUUACUUCUGCUCAUGACAGCUGUUAAUAAAGUAUGAUGUAACAUAAUCAGGGGUGUGGCCUCUUAGAGUGACAGGUGGGAGCUGCUACAUGUCAUCUCAGCUGAUUGAGUCAGUCUGUGGGUGUGUCAGUGGAGUUUUUUCCACAUAAAUAUAUCUAACAGUCCAGUUUCAGCUCUCUGUGAAAUCCUCGCUUCAUUUCUUAUUUUUAUGUCGUUGCUAAUUAGCAGCUUUCUGUGUCUGAGCUCACUGCCGCUGACCUGAGUCUGAUUUAUCUCAAAGUCUGUUUUUCACCAGGUCAGGCUGAAAGGUAGAAACAUGAAACGGUUUAAAGGGUGAGGAUGAAGAGAGGGACGGUACAGUGUGGGGGGAGGAAGGUUUUAAGAGGGUGAUGGAGGGAUGAGACGCAGAGAGAGAGAGAGAGAUUUUCAUCUGUAGCAGAGAGGGCUCCUCAUUUUUCCUCCCGACCUUACAGUGACCUGACAUGGAUGGAGAGAAAAGGAGAGAGAGAGAGAGAGAGAGAGAGAGAGAGAGAUCAGGGUAGUUAUUGUUUGUCAUUUUUCCUCCCCAAUUUCCAGCCUAAUGAAGACACUCAUUGGCUGAAGAGGAAUCAGAGGGAGAAGGUGUGUGUGUGUGUGUGUGUGUUCGUCCUACACAGGUUACCAUGACAACACAUGUGAUGUCAUGUGUUAGCCUUGGGUAGAAGGUGACUGUGUUUGUGUGUACGUUCAUACUGCUGCACGUGUGUGAGCCAAAGUUUCUGAUUCGACCUUUUUAUCCGAUUUAUCUUCGACUGAAAUCUCCCAGAUUAAAAUAUAAUCCUGCUGAUUACAUAAGAUUCAACACUAUAAGACACAAUAGCAGCAUAAUGACAGUGUGAGAGUAAAGAAUAGGAAAUAACCAUGAAGUCGUGUUUACUAAGUUUAGAUAACAAGACAAAACACUGCGAUACAAAACGACAGGAGUGUAAUUAGAAAAGAUCAAACAGAAUAUAAGACAGUCAUGUGACACACGACUGUUCAACACAACAACAUGAUAGGGAAUAUGGUGUAAUUAUUACUGUAUGAUAUGAUACUUUACAGUGUGAUAUAAUUGGUUAAAUAUGAUAUGAUUGAAUCCAAUAUGAUACUAUAAGAUACAAGACGAGACAGUAUGAUAUUUGAUGUGAUUGGAUACAAAGCUACAUGAUAUCAACAAUAGGAUACAAGACUAAACUAUGCAUUAAGAUAUGAUGUGAAAUGAUACGACACAGUAUUGUUCAGUGAUAUAAUAGCUUGAUGAAGUUCAACAUAAUAUCAGUUAAUAGAUGAACAUGUAAUUUUACUCACUAAGACCUGACUCUGACUCUUCAUGAUGAUAUCAGCUGUUUGCCUCAUUGACUUCCAUUAAUCUCCAUGUUAUUGAUUUAGGUACAGUUAAAUAUUACAUGAUAGACUAUCGUACAGUCUGAUGGAUUUAGUAUCACCGAACUCUGAGUUGCUUAAUCUGAUCUAAUCUGAAAAACACCUUUCAGUCCAGUAUGUAGAGCGCUCAGUGAGGUCUGUUAAAGCAGCAUGGGUGACGCUUUAUGGAUCAGUUUUUAUAUUUAGUUUUUAGUUUUUGUUUUUUAUCUAUACUUUUGUAAUUUUUGUUUAAAAAUUUUUUUUUGGUUUAUUAUCUUCAGUUUUUAAUUUUAUUUAUUUAUUUUUUAUCUUUUAAUUGUUUAAUUUUUAUGGUUUAUCUUUAAAUUUAAAUUUUUUUAUUUUUUAUCUUGAAUUUGAUUUUUUAUCUUUAGUUUUUUUAUAUUUACUUUUUUUUUAGGUUUUAUCUACAUUUUUUUUAUUUUUGUUUUUGAUUUAUCAUUAGUUUUUUUUAUUUACUGUUUUUAUUUUUAAUUUUUUUUAUCUUUAGUGUUUUAUCUUUAGUUUUUAUUUUUUGUGUUUUUAUUCCAAAUUUACUACAUUAAUUUUGUUUAUCUUUAUCUUUUUUUAUAUUUAUUUUUUUUAUUUUUAGUUUGUUACCUUUAGUUCUAUAAUCUCAGUCUCUCUUAUGUCGUCAUAUUUCUGUCAGGUAUUGUUUAAUUAAAUUUAGGGUUGUCUACACUUUUUCUAUCAUUCCUCUUCCUCCCUCUUGUUAAUUUGUUAAUCCUUUCCUCUCUUUUUUUUCCAAAUCCUAACAGACUUGUUGUUUUUUUUUCUUUUUCUACCUUUUUCAUCUUUUUUUAUAUUUCCAUCGUCAUGUUUCUUCUCUGUGAGCUGGAGCGACCAGAAGGUGCUCAUUUGGUUUAUCUGCACACACACUAACACAUUUAAUGCAUGGCAGCAUGCUGCGCUGCAUGCCCCCAGGGUGUGUGUGUGUGUGUGUGUGUGUGUGUGUGUGUGUGAUGGAGAAUAGGAAGCGAGUCGUUGCCCUGCUGUUGAACCCUCUACGUUUCUGCCCUCCUCUUCCAUCUCUCUGUCGUUGCUGAUGUACGCCGCUCGUUGAACGGCGCCUGAAACCCUUCCUUCCUCUCAGAUCCAUUUCCAAACAUCAGAAUAAACUGGAGGAAUAAAGAGAAGUGCUUUUGUUGACUGUGUUUGGGUUCGUCUCUGCUGAUAAGACGUCUUCAUGUUCGUGUCUCAGCGAUAGAGAUCAGCGUGUCGAUAUGCAUCUGUUAAUGUUGACACGCUGCCAAUAAAGUUGGUUCAACGCCGACAUAACGCUCUUGUUUGUAUCUUAAACUAUGCAUCCAGACUUCUACGGUGGCCCUGAGGGGAGAAAAAACAACAACGCUUCAAAACUCAGUUGUGUACGUUUGGACUUAUCUGUGUCUGGAUGAGUUUGUCGGUAUCGACUCUGAACUCUGAACCAAUCAGGCGUCACGUACUUUACAACAAUUAAAGGGAAGUUCCGCUUUAAUCAGUCCCUCCAGGCGAAGACGGGUCAAAGUCGGUCUGUUGAUUAUUUAUACGUUUGUUUUGAGUUUUAAUAUAAAUCAGAUAUUUUUCAUUAUUCCUUAAAAAGCUUCAAAUCAAAAAGACACUAAACGUCUGUGAGCUGCGGCGAACAAUAACCUUAAACCAACGUGAGUUUCCUUUUGAUCCGCUCCAUACAACAGACGACGAGGCGACCUUUGACCCCACGCUGCAGAGGACUGAGUUUGACCCCAGACUGACCGCGCUGUGACCCCACAGGACAGGAAGUGAAGACGGCGUUCAUGUAGGUCUGAAUGUGUGUCUCUGUGAGGAGCAGGACGGAGAUCAGGGAGGACGGCGGCGGAGGUUAGGGCGUUAAGAUGGCCGACGGGGUCUAAGAUGGCUGCUGUGGAGGCGAAGGGGGCGCAGUGGGGACGUCUCAUAUCGUCUUUAUGUCGUUGCGUUUCUUUGCAUCUUCAGAGGGAGGGGUUAGGACGUAAAGACGGGAGGAAAGCGUGGGAAGCAGCUUCACAAACACACGUGAAUUUUCUGACUUUUACCUGCUGCGUCAGCUCGCCACGACGUCUGUCCGACUCUCCUCCUCCUCCUCCUCUUCCUCCUCUCAUUGUUUCUAACAGCAAAUAUCCACACUCUGAAAAAAGCAGCAGCUGCUCUCUCACUGACGCUCGGUCCUGAUUCUGUCGCUUCACAGUCAGGAUAUUAAAACCUCUGUGAGAAUUUUCAGACUAAAAUAAAUCAGCUCAUUAAUUUUUACUUUUAUUUGUCUUUAAACUAAAUUAAAACAUCCAGUUUUCAACUAAAGACGUGACAGUUUCUGUGUAAUCUGUGUCUUUAUUUUAUUUUAUUUCAUUGUAUUUAUUUAUUUAUCACAGAUUAAAAACAGAGCGAGGAGGAAAUGAAGCCGAUGGGAGUUUACAGAGGUCCACUCCCGUCAGGUCAGUGAAGGCGUAGGGUGACAAAGUAACUCAGACAUAGACGGGUUAUAAAUAUACAAUGAUUAGGGAAAGGUCAAACAGACACAAAUUUUCAUAAAUAAAACACAAACUAAUCAUCAAACAGCGUUAGAGACGAUCUAAGUAUUUAUAAAAAGGAAGGAAACAUGAUCAUAACAGAUAAUGACGUAUUUAAGACGUGAUCAGAUGAGAUUUUAAAGAUAUUUUUAAGGAUUUGAAGGAUGAUAUUGAUUUUAAAGAUGAAUCCAGAUUAUUCCACAGUUUCAGACCUCUAAAAGUGAAAUUAGACUGAUGACUAGAAGUUCGACAUGAAGGUAACUGAAGAUGGUCAUUUUGUCUUGUUUGUCGUUUUCUCCGUAAAUAAAAUCUAGGAUGAGUUCAUGGUUGUUUGUUUUUCUGCAGAGAAAGUCCGACAUGAUGCAAAGAUGUCUCUGAGUGAACACAGACGGUUUAAAACCAGCUCUGAUUCGAGGCGUGGGUCUGUCGGUCGUCUUUACGGUGAAACCCUCGAGUUUAAAUCUAGAUUACGUCCCUCUGAGCUCUAAUUUAAUCUGGAAUAAUCUCAUUUACCGAAAUCUGAUCCUAUUAUUUGAAAAAGUUGAUCAUAAGAUCAUCAAACAUGUUAAAUUUGUCUCCUCAGAUUGUGGAUUUAUCGUAUUAAAGAGCCGCGCCGUCCUCCUGACCCCGGACUGAACCUGCAGCCUGGGAGCCGACCUCAGGCUGAACCGGGCUGGGGUCAGAGGUCAGGGUUGAAGGCCGGGUCUGUGAGCCUGAUCAGAGGGUGCAGAGGUGAAGGCCGGGUCAGAGUCCUGAGGGGGAGAAGAUGAGUAUCCUGCUGGACAAACUGAGGUACUGCAGCUGAGAGGACGGAUCAGAGCGAAUAGAAGCUGCAGGGUCUGAGUUUCUAUAACAACAAUAAACAAACACAUGAUUGAUCAUUUAAUAUUGAUCAUAUUUACAUUAUUAACGUUUGUGUUCAGAGAAAAAAAUCAUCUUUGGUUCAGAACAAUAAUCUCACACUAAAGAUGAAAAAUGAUUUUAGUAAAACUGAAGAAUUAAAGAGUAAAAACAUGAUAAACUUAUUCAGUUUCUUUGUUGUAUAAAAGUCCCUCAAAGUUGUAAUAACACACAACAGCAUUAACACACACACACACACUCACACACACACACAAACUCAGAGCCGUCAGAGCGUCAGCCGAGGGAUCGAACGAUCAAAACAAGAGGAGGAGGAAGAGGACGACCCGCUUUACCUCAGAGUCAAAACCGAUCUGGAAUAAAGAUAAAAACCAACUUCUGCACAUGUUUGAAAUUUCCCCAAAUUUAUUCUUUAAAUUCUUUAAAUUCGAUCCUGUUAACCUUCAGGAGGAGUGCGUUCUCUCUCUGUUUGUCUUUAAAUAAUCUGAAGUUUAAACACAAACGUCUCUUUCUUGAAUAAAAACUGAACAGAUUUCUCUAAAAUCUCCACACGGCCGUAACGACAGUGGACUUUUAAUUCUUCAGACAUUUUUAAAUCCGAAUUUAAAGAAAGAAACAAAAAAGUGUUUGUUAUAGAAAGUAAGAAAAAGAGUUAAUGCACAAAUAUAUGAAAAGGAACAAUUAUAUAAUUAUUUUUAUUCACUCACUUUUUUAAACGUUUAUUAAAGUUCCUUAUUUGAUCUUUUAAAAAUUUGGUAAAACUGAUUUAAAGUUUGUAGUUUUUUUUAUAUUCUUACAUUAAAUGUUAAAAUACUGUUUCCUCAUAUCUUGUUUAAUUUUUUUCUAUAAAUCAUGUAAAAAUAACAGGAACACCAUAUAUGGUCAAGCUUUAAAGUAAAACAAAAUCUACUGUAUAUAAAACAAACAUUUUUAUAUUUAUAAAUAGGUUUAUAUAAGUAUACAUAAAAAUAAAAAUCAUGUUCUUAUGUACACAUAAAUAUAUGUAAAGAUAUAUAUUUAAGGAAUUGUUUUAUAUUCAAAAUAAAUAAAUUAUAUAAAUAAUUGACUUACAAAUUACAAUAGAAUAUGUAAAUAAAUAUAUAAUUAUAUAUUUAUAAAGAAUUAUAAAUAGGUGCAGAACAGCUAAAAUUGUACAGAGAUGACCUUUUUAUACAUAUUUUACAUUUAUCUACCGACCCUGGGUUUUCCCAGACCAGCUGAGAGACCAGGUCUAUCUAGCGUGUCCCGGGUCUUCCCCGUGGUCUCCUCCUGGUGGGACGUACCCUGAAUACCUCACCAGCGAGGCGUCAG